This 434-nucleotide ribosomal RNA is filed under the name uncultured bacterium. RNAcentral's name for it is "bacterial SSU rRNA". It matches the Rfam family "Bacterial small subunit ribosomal RNA", at positions 29 to 508 of the family's 1533-position model. The record is from RNAcentral.
AGCGAACGCUGGCGGCAUGCUUAACACAUGCAAGUCGCACGGUCAGCAAUGGCAGUGGCGGACGGGUGAGUAACACGUAGGAAUCUAUCCCAGGGUGGGGGACAACAGCGGGAAACUGCUGCUAAUACCGCAUGAUACCUGAGGGUCAAAGGCGCAAGUCGCCUUGGGAGGAGCCUGCGUCUGAUUAGCUUGUUGGUGGGGUAAAGGCCUACCAAGGCGACGAUCAGUAGCUGGUCUGAGAGGAUGAUCAGCCACAUUGGGACUGAGACACGGCCCAAACUCCUACGGGAGGCAGCAGUGGGGAAUAUUGGACAAUGGGGGAAACCCUGAUCCAGCAAUGCCGCGUGUGUGAAGAAGGUCUUCGGAUUGUAAAGCACUUUUGGCAGGGACGAUGAUGACGGUACCUGCAGAAUAAGCCCCGGCUAACUUCGUGC